GACGAACCGUGCGAACGUUAUUCGGAAUCACUGGGCUUAAAGCGCGUGUAGGCGGGAGGGCACGUCCGUCGCUGAAAUCCCCCGGCUCAACCGGGGAACGGGCGCGGAUACGACCUUCCUGGAGGGGCGUAGGGGGACCUGGAACUUCCGGUGGAGCGGUGAAAUGCGUUGAGAUCGGAAGGAACGCCCGUGGCGGAAGCGAGGUCCUGGACGCCUACUGACGCUGAGACGCGAAAGCCAGGGGAGCGAACGGG
Molecule: ribosomal RNA, 254 nt
Filed under: uncultured bacterium
Lineage: Bacteria
Description: partial 16S ribosomal RNA
Rfam family: Bacterial small subunit ribosomal RNA
Source: RNAcentral